GGAUUAGAUACCCUGGUAGUCCUUGCCGUAAACGAUGCAUACUUGGUGUAGCUGGACUCAACCCCGGCUGUGCCGUAGCUAACGUGUUAAGUAUGCCGCCUGGGGAGUACGCUCGCAAGGGUGAAACUCAAAAGAAUUGACGGGGGCCCGCACAAGCAGUGGAGCAUGUGGUUUAAUUCGAUGCAACGCGAAGAACCUUACCCAGACUUGACAUCUAGAGGACCGCAUCAGAGAUGAUGUUCCCCGCAAGGGCCUUUAGACAGGUGCUGCAUGGCUGUCGUCAGCUCGUGCUG
Molecule: ribosomal RNA, 293 nt
Filed under: uncultured bacterium
Lineage: Bacteria
Description: partial 16S ribosomal RNA
Rfam family: Bacterial small subunit ribosomal RNA
Source: RNAcentral